ACCAACUCUUUUCAAGGGCAGCAUUAGAACCAACUUGGACCCUCUAGGCCUUUACUCAGAUGAUGAUAUAUGGAAGGCUCUAGAGAAAUGUCAGCUUAAGGAAACUAUCAGCCGUCUACCAAAUCUCUUGGACUCUUCCGUGAGUGAUGAAGGAGGAAAUUGGAGCUUGGGACAGCGCCAACUGUUUUGUCUUGG
Molecule: non-coding RNA, 195 nt
Organism: Cajanus cajan (pigeon pea)
Lineage: Eukaryota; Viridiplantae; Streptophyta; Magnoliopsida; Fabales; Fabaceae
Source: RefSeq, a predicted model, not a curated record